RNAcentral lists this ribosomal RNA (700 nucleotides) under Nocardioides sp. Its description in RNAcentral is "bacterial SSU rRNA". It matches the Rfam family "Bacterial small subunit ribosomal RNA", at positions 79 to 793 of the family's 1533-position model. Lineage: Bacteria; Bacillati; Actinomycetota; Actinomycetes; Propionibacteriales; Nocardioidaceae. The record is from RNAcentral.
UUCGGGGGUACACGAGCGGCGAACGGGUGAGUAACACGUGAGUAAUCUGCCCUCCACUUCGGGAUAAGCCUCGGAAACGGGGUCUAAUACCGGAUACGACACAGUUUCGCAUGAGAUCUGUGUGGAAAGUUUUUUCGGUGGGGGAUGUGCUCGCGGCCUAUCAGCUUGUUGGUGGGGUAAUGGCCUACCAAGGCUUCGACGGGUAGCCGGCCUGAGAGGGUGACCGGCCACACUGGGACUGAGACACGGCCCAGACUCCUACGGGAGGCAGCAGUGGGGAAUAUUGGACAAUGGGCGGAAGCCUGAUCCAGCAACGCCGCGUGAGGGAUGACGGCCUUCGGGUUGUAAACCUCUUUCAGUACCGACGAAGCGCAAGUGACGGUAGGUACAGAAGAAGCACCGGCCAACUACGUGCCAGCAGCCGCGGUAAUACGUAGGGUGCGAGCGUUGUCCGGAAUUAUUGGGCGUAAAGGGCUCGUAGGCGGUUUGUCGCGUCGGGAGUGAAAACACUGGGCUUAACUCAGUGCUUGCUUCCGAUACGGGCAGACUAGAGGCAUGCAGGGGAGAACGGAAUUCCUGGUGUAGCGGUGAAAUGCGCAGAUAUCAGGAGGAACACCGGUGGCGAAGGCGGUUCUCUGGGCAUGUCCUGACGCUGAGGAGCGAAAGUGUGGGGAGCGAACAGGAUUAGAUACCCUGGUAG